AUACAUAGGGGGCAAGCGUUAUCCGGAAUUAUUGGGCGUAAAGGGUGCGUAGGCGGUUAGUAAAGUUUAAGGUAUAAGCUCAUGGCUCAACCAUGGGAGGCUUUAGAAACUGGCUAACUUGAGUGCAGUAGAGGCAAGUGGAAUUCCAUGUGUAGCGGUAAAAUGCGUAAAUAUAUGGAGGAACACCAGUAGCGAAGGCGGCUUGCUGGGCUGUAACUGACGCUGAGGCACGAAAGCGUGGGGAGCAAACAGGAUUAGAUACCCUGGUAGUCCACGCCGUAAACGAUGAGUACUAAGUGUUGGGGUAGCCCAGUGCUGAAGUUAACGUAAUAAGUACUCCGCCUGAGUAGUACGUGCGCAAGCAUGAA
Molecule: ribosomal RNA, 368 nt
Filed under: uncultured bacterium
Lineage: Bacteria
Description: bacterial SSU rRNA
Rfam family: Bacterial small subunit ribosomal RNA
Source: RNAcentral